GCAUUAGUGGGGUAGUGGUAACCUGGGUCGUUGCCAUACGCGCUAUCUCGACCCGCCCGGAGUUCGAUUCUCCGUUAAUGCA
Molecule: transfer RNA, 82 nt
Filed under: Vararia minispora EC-137
Lineage: Eukaryota; Fungi; Basidiomycota; Agaricomycetes; Russulales; Lachnocladiaceae
Description: tRNA-Gly
Source: RNAcentral